AGAGCGAACGCUGGCGGCAGGCUUAACACAUGCAAGUCGAGCGCCCCGCAAGGGGAGCGGCAGACGGGAGAGUAACACGUGGGAACGUACCCUUCAGUUCGGAACAACCCAGGGAAACUUGGGCUAAUACCGAAUACGUCCGUAAGGAGAAAGAUUUAUCGCUGAAGGAUCGGCCCGCGUCUGAUUAGCUAGUUGGUGAGGUAACGGCUCACCAAGGCUUUGACGGGUAGCUGGUCUGAGAGGACGACCAGCCACACUGGGACUGAGACACGGCCCAGACACCUACGGGUGGCAGCAGUCGAGAAUUUUUCUCAAUGGGGGAAACCCUGAAGGAGCGACGCCGCGUGGAGGAUGAAGGUCUUCGGGUUGUAAACUCCUGUCAUUUGGGAACAAGGCGUAGGUAUUAACUGUAUCUACGUUGAUAGUACCAGAAGAGGAAGAGACGGCUAACUCUGUGCCAGCAGCCGC
RNAcentral lists this ribosomal RNA (468 nucleotides) under uncultured bacterium. Its description in RNAcentral is "SSU rRNA". It matches the Rfam family "Bacterial small subunit ribosomal RNA", at positions 26 to 518 of the family's 1533-position model. The record is from RNAcentral.